Molecule: ribosomal RNA, 257 nt
Filed under: uncultured prokaryote
Description: partial 16S ribosomal RNA
Rfam family: Bacterial small subunit ribosomal RNA
Source: RNAcentral
UACGGAGGAUGCGAGCGUUAUCCGGAUUUAUUGGGUUUAAAGGGUGCGUAGGCGGCUUUUUAAGUCAGCUGUGAAAUUUUGCAGCUUAACUGUAACAGUGCCGUUGAUACUGGGGAGCUAGGAUUUGGUUGCUGUGGGUGGAAUGUGUGGUGUAGCGGUGAAAUGCUUAGAGAUCACACAGAAUAUCGAUUGCGAAGGCAGCUCACAAAGCCAAGAUUGACGCUGAGGCACGAAAGUGUGGGGAUCAAACAGGAUUA